Non-coding RNA from Podarcis lilfordi (Lilford's wall lizard), 67 nucleotides. The record is from the annotation of a GenBank genome assembly. Lineage: Eukaryota; Metazoa; Chordata; Lepidosauria; Squamata; Lacertidae.
GCAGCUCAGUGGUAGAACAUCUGCUUUGCAUGUAGAAGAUCUCAGGUUCAAUCCCUGCCAAUCAGCG